Molecule: long non-coding RNA, 786 nt
Filed under: Homo sapiens (human)
Lineage: Eukaryota; Metazoa; Chordata; Mammalia; Primates; Hominidae
Description: HSALNT0039249
Source: RNAcentral
UGCCUUCUGGGCUGAGGGCGGGGGUUUAAGAAGGAAAACGUGAGAAACAUGCCGGAGUGGUACAGAAGGGGUCUGCGUGUCUCUUUCCAAUGGUAACCUUGAGUAAUUGCCCAUCUGGAGGUCUGUUUUGCAUUAUCCUGACUUGGGUCUGGUAGUGGUGGGCUAACUGUUUGAAACACCCCUUAAGUGGGAGGAUUCCCCAGCUGGGGCCCUCGGCCUGGUUUGUUUCAAAAUUGGCCCCUGGAAUUUCCAAGCAAGUACAAAAUUAAAUAAGUGAGUACUGUUCAUGGAAGUCCCUACCGAGAAAGGGAGAAACAAAGAGUUUCAAAGUAUGUUUCAGGCUGAAAACAAAAAAGAAAACAAACAAACAAAAAAGCUUGAAAAUGCAUUUUGAGGCUGUGAUCUUCCGUUACAAGACUGUGGUCUGAAGACCAGUGGGGGUUCCUGACUUUUGUAAGAACUGCAAUGAGGCCCACUCUGCAUUGAGACCUGGAAGGCUCCAAGAGCUGGCCUCCCACAGCAUCUGACUGAAAGCUUUAAUGCCUGUAACUGACAGCUGUAUAAACGGAAUUGAGGACUUCGGUGCAGGGGAAGGGAGCAAAAAUAAAUUUACUGACAAAAUAAAAAUCGAGUUGUACUAUGGUAUGAAAAAUUGCUGAUGUUGUCACAUGUGGCAUCUCUUUAUUCCCAAUGAAUAAAGUAGGCUCUUUAACACCAAAACAAGGGGAAAGGUCAGUUCUAUUGAGAAGCAAGUUGUGCGUUGAUCGUCUUUGGUGAGCCUGUUAU